AGAGUUUGAUCCUGGCUCAGGAUGAACGCUAGCGGCAGGCUUAACACAUGCAAGUCGAACGGUAACAGGGAAAAGCUUGCUUUUCUGCUGACGAGUGGCGAACGGGUGCGUAACACGUAUGCAACUUACCUUUAACAGGGGGAUAGCCCAGAGAAAUCUGGAUUAAUACCCCAUAACAUUAUCAUUUCGCAUGUUAUGAUAAUUAAAACUUCGGUGGUUAGAGAUAGGCAUGCGUCCCAUUAGUUAGUUGGUAAGGUAACGGCUUACCAAGACAGCGAUGGGUAGGGGGUCUGAGAGGAUGAUCCCCCACACUGGUACUGAGACACGGACCAGACUCCUACGGGAGGCAGCAGUGAGGAAUAUUGGGCAAUGGACGAAAGUCUGACCCAGCCAUGCCGCGUGCAGGAAGAAUGCCCUAUGGGUUGUAAACUGCUUUUAUAUACCAAGAAACGCAGGUACGUGUACCUGUCUGACGGUAGUAUAUGAAUAAGCACCGGCUAACUCCGUGCCAGCAGCCGCGGUAAUACGGAGGGUGCAAGCGUUAUCCGGAUUUAUUGGGUUUAAAGGGUCCGUAGGCGGGAAAAUAAGUCAGUGGUGAAAGCCUACAGCUCAACUGUAGAACUGCCAUUGAAACUGUUUUUCUUGAAUUUAGAUGAAGUGGGCGGAAUAUAUCAUGUAGCGGUGAAAUGCAUAGAUAUGAUAUAGAACACCGAUUGCGAAGGCAGCUCACUAAACUAAUAUUGACGCUGAGGGACGAAAGCGUGGGGAGCGAACAGGAUUAGAUACCCUGGUAGUCCACGCCGUAAACGAUGAUUACUCGGUGCUAGCAAUACAUACGAUCUGAGUGGCUAAGCGAAAGUGAUAAGUAUCCCACCUGGGGAGUACGUUCGCAAGAAUGAAACUCAAAGGAAUUGACGGGGGCCCGCACAAGCGGUGGAGCAUGUGGUUUAAUUCGAUCAUACGCGAGGAACCUUACCAGGGCUUAAAUGUAUUUUGACAGGUUUAGAGAUAGACUUUCCUUCGGGCAAUUUACAAGGUGCUGCAUGGUUGUCGUCAGCUCGUGCCGUGAGGUGUCAGGUUAAGUCCUAUAACGAGCGCAACCCCUGUUGUUAGUUGCCAGCGAGUCAUGUCGGGGACUCUAACAAGACUGCCGGUGCAAACCGUGAGGAAGGUGGGGAUGACGUCAAAUCAUCACGGCCCUUACGUCCUGGGCUACACACGUGCUACAAUGGUAGGUACAGAGAGCAGCCACUUCGCGAGAAGGAGCGAAUCUAUAAAACCUAUCACAGUUCGGAUCGGAGUCUGCAACUCGACUCCGGGAAGCUGGAAUCGCUAGUAAUCGGAUAUCAGCCAUGAUCCGGUGAAUACGUUCCCGGGCCUUGUACACACCGCCCGUCAAGCCAUGGAAGCUGGGAGUACCUGAAGUCGGUCACCGCAAGGAGCCGCCUAGGGUAAAAUUGGUAACUAGGGCUAAGUCGUAACAAGGUAACC
RNAcentral lists this ribosomal RNA (1491 nucleotides) under uncultured prokaryote. RNAcentral describes it as "partial 16S ribosomal RNA". It matches the Rfam family "Bacterial small subunit ribosomal RNA". The record is from RNAcentral.